This 253-nucleotide ribosomal RNA is filed under the name uncultured bacterium. RNAcentral describes it as "partial 16S ribosomal RNA". It matches the Rfam family "Bacterial small subunit ribosomal RNA", at positions 524 to 776 of the family's 1533-position model. The record is from RNAcentral.
GACGAAACGAGCGAACGUUGUUCGGAAUCACUGGGCUUAAAGGGCGCGUAGGCGGGCUGUCAAGUCUGGGGUGAAAUCCCACGGCUCAACCGUGGAACUGCCUCAGAUACUGACGGCCUCGAGGGAGGUAGGGGCGAGCGGAACGGGUGGUGGAGCAGUGAAAUGCGUUGAUAUCACUCGGAACUCCGGUGGCGAAAGCGGCUCGCUGGGCCAUUUCUGACGCUGAGGCGCGAAAGCUAGGGGAGCAAACGGG